This is an unclassified non-coding RNA of Stegodyphus dumicola, 1553 nucleotides long. The record is from RefSeq and is a predicted model, not a curated record. Lineage: Eukaryota; Metazoa; Arthropoda; Arachnida; Araneae; Eresidae.
AACAGUUCCCACUGGUUGGCCAUGGAUAAGCUGUGUAGAUGCCUGUAUAUACGACAUUUCAAAUGUUGUUUGGCAACAGUUUCACCUGCUCCUGAGUUUUUGUUUACAAUUGUGCUCUUGAACUGUAAAUAAUGAGCAUCGUUCGCGGAGAGGAUGUCUCGUUGACGGUGUCAGAGCAAGUUCUGUCAGCUUGCGCUGGGGCUUUAGUAACAUCUCUGUUUGUUACUCCAUUAGAUGUUGUGAAGAUACGACUUCAAGUGCAAGAAAAGGUUGGCCCUGGAAAAAAAUGUUUCCAGCAUUAUAGUUGUUUAUGGGAUAAUUUAUGCUACUGCAUCCAAGAACAUGGAUGCAAACGCUGUGAGUGGUAUAAAACAGAAAGGCAGUUUAAGGGAACUUUGGAUGCAUUUAUGAAAAUAUCCAAGUAUGAAGGCAUAACAUCACUGUGGAGUGGUCUUUCUCCCACUCUAGUGAUGGCCAUACCUGCAACAGUAAUAUAUUUUACCAUGUAUGAACAGAUCCGUGAUAAUACAAUGAAAACUCUGGUUCCACCAUUGCAUCCUUACUGGGUUCCUAUGAUGUCUGGAAUUAGUGCAAGAGUUCUGACUGUUACAGCUAUAAGUCCUAUAGAAUUUUUACGCACUAAAUUGCAGUCAGAAAGGGUAAAAUAUUCAGAUGUAUAUAAAAGUUUAGUACAGCUAGUAAAGCAGAGAGGUUUAAUAUCUCUGUGGCAUGGAUGGGUUCCAACACUUCUGAGAGAUGUACCUUUUUCUGCUAUAUAUUGGUCAAUAUAUGAGCACCUGAAGUUAUUGAAACCAGAGCCUAGUUUCACGCAUUCAUUUGUAUUUGGAGCACUUUCUGGAACUGUAGCUGCUGCUUUUACUACUCCAUUUGAUGUAAUAAAAACACAUCGUCAGGCUCAGCUUGGGGAAGCUGCGCUUUUGCACAAAGCUGUAAAGACUAGCACCUUUUCACUGAUUAUGACCCUAUAUAGACAAGGGAAAACAAAAUCACUCUUAGCAGGUUUACUUCCCCGAAUAAUGAAAGUAGCUCCAUCGUGUGCCAUAAUGAUUUCUUCUUAUGAGUUUGGAAAGAGUUACUUCAAAAAGCGAAGAGCAAAAGCAAAAGAUUAACUUCUUUGCAAAUUAUCUUUAGGGUACUUGGUACUAAUUCAGAAGUCAAACAACAGGUACUUGGUAUUUCGGAGCAAGAAAUGAAAAAUCACCUAAGUCCUCACCAGGAUUCAAAACAUGGAUCUUCCAACUGCUAGCUGGACAAGCUAACUAUUUACACAAUGAGAGCAGCAUGGAUGGAUGCGGUGAUUCAUUACGUAUGAAUCAAAAAAGUUAUUUGAGAGAAAAACAUAAGAAAUGAAACAAAAAGGAGGUAUCUGUUGAAGACCGCUUAUGCCUGUGAGUUGAAGUACAUAAAGAAGACACACAUGUUGUGAAAUGAAAUAUCUUAAGAAAACAUCAUGUCUUAUUUCUUGAACCUAUUUCAAAUUUCUGUAUAAAUUAAUAGAAAAUGAAUUAAAGGAGCAUAGUCCCAGACAGUAA